RNAcentral lists this transfer RNA (98 nucleotides) under Achromobacter dolens. RNAcentral describes it as "tRNA-???(tc)". The record is from RNAcentral. Lineage: Bacteria; Pseudomonadati; Pseudomonadota; Betaproteobacteria; Burkholderiales; Alcaligenaceae.
GCCGCGCGCGUGGCGCGCCCGGCCAGCGUCGGCAGCGCUUCGGCGUUGGGCGUCUUGAAGUUGAAGGCGCUGGUCAGGUCGCCGCAGACCGCGCGGCG